RNAcentral lists this ribosomal RNA (253 nucleotides) under uncultured bacterium. RNAcentral describes it as "partial 16S ribosomal RNA". It matches the Rfam family "Bacterial small subunit ribosomal RNA", at positions 524 to 776 of the family's 1533-position model. The record is from RNAcentral.
GACGGAGGAUGCAAGCGUUAUCCGGAAUGAUUGGGCGUAAAGCGUCCGCAGGUGGCAGUUCAAGUCUGCUGUCAAAGACCGGGGCUUAACUUCGGAAAGGCAGUGGAAACUGAACAGCUAGAGUAUGGUAGGGGCAGAGGGAAUUCCUGGUGUAGCGGUGAAAUGCGUAGAUAUCAGGAAGAACAUCGGUGGCGAAAGCGCUCUGCUGGACCAUAACUGACACUCAGGGACGAAAGCUAGGGGAGCGAAUGGG